AGAGUUUGAUCCUGGCUCAGGACGAACGCUGGCGGCGUGCCUAAUACAUGCAAGUCGAGCGGACAGAUGGGAGCUUGCUCCCUGAUGUUAGCGGCGGACGGGUGAGUAACACGUGGGUAACCUGCCUGUAAGACUGGGAUAACUCCGGGAAACCGGGGCUAAUACCGGAUGCUUGUUUGAACCGCAUGGUUCAAACAUAAAAGGUGGCUUCGGCUACCACUUACAGAUGGACCCGCGGCGCAUUAGCUAGUUGGUGAGGUAAUGGCUCACCAAGGCAACGAUGCGUAGCCGACCUGAGAGGGUGAUCGGCCACACUGGGACUGAGACACGGCCCAGACUCCUACGGGAGGCAGCAGUAGGGAAUCUUCCGCAAUGGACGAAAGUCUGACGGAGCAACGCCGCGUGAGUGAUGAAGGUUUUCGGAUCGUAAAGCUCUGUUGUUAGGGAAGAACAAGUGCCGUUCGAAUAGGGCGGCACCUUGACGGUACCUAACCAGAAAGCCACGGCUAACUACGUGCCAGCAGCCGCGGUAAUACGUAGGUGGCAAGCGUUGUCCGGAAUUAUUGGGCGUAAAGGGCUCGCAGGCGGUUUCUUAAGUCUGAUGUGAAAGCCCCCGGCUCAACCGGGGAGGGUCAUUGGAAACUGGGGAACUUGAGUGCAGAAGAGGAGAGUGGAAUUCCACGUGUAGCGGUGAAAUGCGUAGAGAUGUGGAGGAACACCAGUGGCGAAGGCGACUCUCUGGUCUGUAACUGACGCUGAGGAGCGAAAGCGUGGGGAGCGAACAGGAUUAGAUACCCUGGUAGUCCACGCCGUAAACGAUGAGUGCUAAGUGUUAGGGGGUUUCCGCCCCUUAGUGCUGCAGCUAACGCAUUAAGCACUCCGCCUGGGGAGUACGGUCGCAGACUGAAACUCAAAGAUGACGGGGCCCGC
RNAcentral lists this ribosomal RNA (930 nucleotides) under Bacillus vallismortis DV1-F-3. RNAcentral's name for it is "bacterial SSU rRNA". It matches the Rfam family "Bacterial small subunit ribosomal RNA", at positions 8 to 924 of the family's 1533-position model. The record is from RNAcentral. Lineage: Bacteria; Bacillati; Bacillota; Bacilli; Caryophanales; Bacillaceae.